UAAGGGUGAUUUGAUGUUUCAUCAGACUGGACUGACCCACUCUCUUAACGGAGGUAGUGAUCAGCCGAGUAAGGCUGGGACAUGUGGUCUGGCUGAUUGCUUAUUUACAAUUAACAAGCAUGGAAGUGGUCUUUGUGAGUGUGAUGACCUUGAUAGGGCAGAGAAAGGGGAGAAGUGAUCAACAGACAGCGAGCAGGAGCCAGACGGAGAAAGUGAACAUGAGUCCACUGAGGAAGCCAACACAAGAAACAACUGGUAACAUCCCAACUGAAGUCAGUGAUUGGGGACUGCAAAUACAGGGCCACGGCAGCGUUCCUCAAGGUGGAUAGGAUGACCAGCCUCUUGCCCCACAGCUGCAGUCCAUUGUGUACGGUAAGUACUGCUCUGUCCACCCAGUACUGUUUCAGCAUCCCCUGCAGUCUGUUUUUGUCUGGUCACCCAUUUCUGCAGUACAGUACUCCAUCAAUGCAGCACAUGCACUGUCCGCUUUCAGAUGGUUUUGGAGAUUGCUCAGAUAGUCUACACUAACAGAUGGAAUGAUGAUUACAGAGUCCACAUAGAUGAUGGUUUCCUCUAGCAGACUACCACCUGUGGGUGCUCCUGAAGCUCUGAGGGGAGUGUUAGAAAAUAUUUUUGUGGGGGUGCAGUGAGUCUAGCCACAAUAAUGUGCAAAAGUCUGCUCAAACUAGUUCUAACCGCUUUUUAAGCUUCAGCUCCUUAUUCCCUCCGUCCUGCAUGUCUCCGCUGAAGGACAACUCCUGAGAUAAACAUUGACGGUCAGAACUUGUGCUCAAAAUCAAGGCCUUUUUCCUCUGCUCAGUAACUUUCCAUCUCCAAAUAUGGUGUUGUUCCUGUUUUCUAUGCAAAGUUAAUAAAAGCCUAUUGUACAUUGUGGGGCGGUGGGCGGUUGGACGAAGACAGGCUGUUAACCUGUUCUCUCUUCUCCACCGCCUCCCUUUUGCAAAAGAUUGUUUUGAAGUUGAACUGGACUGGUUCGUGUUUUUAUUCAUCUUGAAGAGAGUCUUACAUUUUUAUUCCUGACAGGGAGCAAGGGUCAAGGUGUCUGCUGUCCAUAUGUUUUUGCCAGGGACAUGUGUGACUGUGUAGUUGUAGUGCAUGUAGGGCUGUAACAAGCAUCUGGGUGCUUGGAUACUCGUGAUCUGCUCCCGGAAAUUUGAGCAUGAAUAUUUGCGACGUCCAAGAUCGCUGAUUUGCGAUCUUCAUAAAUAUAGUAGAGUGUAGUAAAAAAAAAAAUCUUAAGGCAUUGUAUUUUUGCUCUGAAAUCCAGUAUAAUGUUGGAUUUUAGGUUUAUGAAUUUAAAAAAAAGAGCAGCGCACCGUCACCGGAAGUAAACACGUCUUUGUGUUGAGGAAGCUUGCGGUUUUCAAAGUAAGACUAGCAAUAGCUUUUUUUUUGUUCAAAAUCUGAGACUGAAGUUCCACUCACUGACAUAAGUUCUGAAAAAAUGAAUUAGCUUUAACACCGGAGCUUUAGCUCCAGUGUUUAUAUUCUUUUGGUUAUGGUAACUCUUCAUGAGUUGACGCAAUUGCUGUAACUUAUGCAGAUUCUGAACCAAAAAAAACGCAACCUUGCGCUGAUAUUCUGCUCUGCGUCUGCCGCAGAAAAAAAUAAUUUUUUCUAUAUAUGGGGUCUGCACCAAUAUGUAAUGCUUAGGACGUAUAACGUUGAAGAACUUUGAGGAUGGAAAAAAUGAAGAACAUGUUCAGGUUUUGUAGUUAAAUGAUCAAAAACAAAAAUAUUUUUAUGAUUUUUAUGUUGUUUAUAUUUCUUCUGAACUUAACUGGAAGGUAGACAACAAAAUAAAAUAAAAAUAAUAAAAAAAAUUCAAAAUCUCAAGCACCAUUUCUUUCUAUUUAAAAUCUUUGUGCUUUUAUCAGUUUUGUUGACUCUGAUCUCCUGUUCUAAAUAAAGGUAUAAAUGAUGGUGAUUUAAUACAAAUCAUUUCAAUUUUCAUACAACCAGGAAAAAAGACAUACACAUAAAAACAAACAUGAUAUUGAAAAGUAAGAAUCGUGAAUCGAAUCGGAUCGCCACCUAAACAAUGAUCCACAGCCCUAAGUGCAUGAGCCUCAAUCUUUGAAUCCUGUUGGAAGGAUCCAGAGCUUUUUCUCCUAGCAUACUCACCAAAGGUUUGUGAUCCGUUUCCAACUCAAAUGAUCUGCCAAUGACAAUAAAGCAGCUGAACCUUUCAAACACUCAUGUUGCGGUCAGACCCUCUUUCUCUGGUGUCAUCAGUCUGAAGGCAAUGCCAGAGGUGCCCACACAGCAUUGCUUUCCUGGAGCAGAACUGCUCUCAGCUCAAAAGAAGAUGCAUCAGGCUGAUAUUUUCAGUUCACUGUGGACUAUGCAAUGAGAGCGCUGGUGUGGAUGAAAGCUCUUUUUCAGUUACUCAAAAGCUGUCUGCUGCUCUGGCUUCCAGUACCAGUGAUUCUUCUUUGACAGCAGAUCCCGAUGAUCCAGAUGUCUUUCUCUGUCAUGGACACCUUCUCCUCCUGUGGUAACACAGGUGCUUCUCGUGUUCUAAUUGAGCUCAUGUAUAUUUAAAGAUGUGUUCUUCUCUAGUUCAGUGUCUCAGCGACCUAGUUUGUUGGCUAUUGUACACGUUCCUCUGUUUGGAUUAAAACCCUGAACUAGACUCCUGGACUUCGUCGUUCUUCCUGCUCUUGGGUUAUCUUGUUUUGACUCCUGUCACAUUCUCUGCCAGACUUGGAAAGAACCGCCCCAACUCGUUCAUCAUACCCAGGAAACGUCUUAAUUCAGUGACAUUAAUUGCAGUACCUGCAGCUG
This is a long non-coding RNA of Oryzias melastigma (Indian medaka), 2808 nucleotides long. RefSeq lists it as uncharacterized. Lineage: Eukaryota; Metazoa; Chordata; Actinopteri; Beloniformes; Adrianichthyidae. The record is from RefSeq and is a predicted model, not a curated record. The transcript has 4 exons.